UCUAAUUCUAAAAAUUAAAACGAUAAGCUAGAGAUCAAAACAACAAAGCUUAACCACAUGACUAAAUAUAUGCAUAAAGAAAGUGUGAAUGGCUUAAAUAGCAGUUCAUAUACACAGUCUCUCAAAUGUUCUGAACUACUUGCCAACCGAACUAUCAGACCACAAAUUUUCCAACAAGACAAGAGGCAGCAUGAAUUUCCUAAGAAAUACUACUGCUAUAUUAAGAUGAAUAGGCCAGGCUAAAUACUAUUACACUACAUUACUGACUUCAUAAAUUCUAAGCAAAUUAUCUCAUCUCCUAUAGAAUCAGGGAAUACCUGAAAAUCGAACAAGAAAACCAAUAGAUCUGAAGUCAAAGGCCAAAAGUAGGGGGUCCGCAACAGGACAGUAGCCACGAACUCCAGCAGAAAGCAGCUCAACCAGAUCAAGUUCAAAAAUAUCAAAAGGGCAACCUCACUCGAGCCAAUACCAAAGCAACCCUCAAAACCAAAAACCUAAGUAACCAAUUUCAAUCCAUUUGAGCUAUACUCCCCAGAAAACCUUUUCAAGAAGUAGAGAACUUAAGAAAUCACUAGAGUAUUUCAAUGAAACAAUGAUUUUUGCUUCAGUUUCAGCUGUUUCCUUUUCUGUAUUUUUCA
RNAcentral lists this long non-coding RNA (638 nucleotides) under Nicotiana benthamiana. RNAcentral's name for it is "long non-coding RNA (NBEN_LNC042014)". Lineage: Eukaryota; Viridiplantae; Streptophyta; Magnoliopsida; Solanales; Solanaceae. The record is from RNAcentral.